Molecule: ribosomal RNA, 292 nt
Filed under: uncultured bacterium
Lineage: Bacteria
Description: partial 16S ribosomal RNA
Rfam family: Bacterial small subunit ribosomal RNA
Source: RNAcentral
GUUUCAGCAGCCGCGGUAAUACGUAGGUGGCAAGCGUUGUCCGGAUUUAUUGGGUUUAAAGGGUGCGUAGGUGGUCUAUUAAGUCAGUGGUGAAAUACGGCAGCUUAACUGUCGAGGUGCCAUUGAUACUGGUAGACUUGAGUACAGACGAGGUAGGCGGAAUUGACGGUGUAGCGGUGAAAUGCUUAGAUAUCGUCAAGAACACCGAUAGCGAAGGCAGCUUACUAGACUGUAACUGACACUGAGGCACGAAAGUGUGGGGAUCAAACAGGAUUAGAUACCCUGGUAGUCC